AUACGUAUGGAGCAAGCGUUAUCCGGAUUUACUGGGUGUAAAGGGAGCGUAGACGGCAUAGCAAGUCUGAAGUGAAAUCCCAUGGCUUAACCAUGGAACUGCUUUGGAAACUGCCAGGCUAGAGUGCAGGAGAGGUAAGCGGAAUUCCUAGUGUAGCGGUGAAAUGCGUAGAUAUUAGGAGGAACACCAGUGGCGAAGGCGGCUUACUGGACUGUAACUGACUUUGAGGCUCGAAAGCGUGGGGAGCAAACAGGAUUAGAUACCCUGGUAGUCCACGCUGUAAACGAUGAUUACUAGGUGUUGGGGACCAAAGGUCCUCGGUGCCGCCGCAAACGCAUUAAGUAAUCCACCUGGGGAGUACGUUCGCAAGAAUGAAACUCAAAUGAAUUGACGG
This 394-nucleotide ribosomal RNA is filed under the name uncultured bacterium. RNAcentral's name for it is "partial 16S ribosomal RNA". It matches the Rfam family "Bacterial small subunit ribosomal RNA", at positions 523 to 916 of the family's 1533-position model. The record is from RNAcentral.